CUACGGGCCGCUGCAGUGGGGAAUAUUGGACAAUGGGGGAAACCCUGAUCCAGCAAUGCCGCGUGUGUGAAGAAGGCCUGCGGGUUGUAAAGCACUUUCGGUUGGGAGGACUGCUUCUAGCACUAAUAUUGUUGGAAGUUGACGUUACCUUCAGAAGAAGCACCGGCUAACUCCGUGCCAGGCAGCCGCGGUAAUACGGAGGGUGCAAGCGGUUAAUCGGAAUUACUGGGCGUAAAGCGCGCGUAGGCGGCUAGAUCAGUCGGGUGUGAAAGCCCCGGGCUUAACCUGGGAACUGCAUCCGAUACUGUCUAGCUUGAGUACAGGAGAGGAGAGUGGAAUUCCACAUGUAGCGGUGAAAUGCGUAGAUAUGUGGAGGAACACCAAUGGCGAAGGCAGCUCUCUGGCCUGAUACUGACGCUGAGGUGCGAAAGCGUGGGGAGCAAACAGGAUUAGAUACCCCCGUAGUC
This 467-nucleotide ribosomal RNA is filed under the name uncultured bacterium. RNAcentral describes it as "partial 16S ribosomal RNA". It matches the Rfam family "Bacterial small subunit ribosomal RNA", at positions 339 to 795 of the family's 1533-position model. The record is from RNAcentral.